This is a long non-coding RNA of Melospiza melodia melodia, 6942 nucleotides long. RefSeq lists it as uncharacterized. The transcript has 6 exons. The record is from RefSeq and is a predicted model, not a curated record. NCBI's taxonomy places the organism in Eukaryota, Metazoa, Chordata, Aves, Passeriformes, Passerellidae.
UCUUGACUUCUCGCUGGCUCCGGAGUCUCGGUGCCCAUGAGAACCGAGGCUGCAGCGGGAAGCAGUUCGUGCUGCUGGAUGGGUUCUGACACGCCGCUCUGAGCCGCGGGUUUCACUCCCCAGCUCCCCAAGGAGCACAAAGCACGCUGCUCCCUUUUAGGGGUUUGAUGUUUUACGCAGCUUGGCUGAAGGUUUUGCCAGGUUGAGCCAUCCACAGGAAUUUCUGCGGUGUGAAGGAUUUCCCUGUGGGUGCAGAGCUGGCAUGAAGGGUCCUCUGGAGCUAAUCUGGCACAAUUUCCAUUCCAGUCAGAGGAAGAUUCCCACUGAUGCCAAGAACAGGACUCCAUGUUGAGAGACUCCUCAAAUGAAAGGCUUAUUUCGAGACGUUUCCUAUGGAGUAACUGCUGCUGCUGCUGAGAGGUGACGGGAGACAUCCACAGUGCUGAAGGGAACGUAUGGAAGUGUCAUGGCAAUGACAGGCACGAAGCCAAAGGCUGCCAUUAUCUCUCUUUCCAUCCCAGAGGAGCUAAGCAGGCAGUGCAGAGGGAGAACAUGGCAUCAGCAGAUCCAUCCUCCAGCCCCUUGGGUGCUGCCAGCCAGAAUAAAGGAGAAGAGACAAUGAAGAUAAAAUCUUGGCUGCUUAGAACGAACUUUUUAAAUUGCCUUGUGGAUUAACAGGAUUGUCUCUGCUGUUACAUUUAAGUCCCCUGAAUACACUUGGACAAGCUUUUCUCUGGUUCUUACAACCAGCCAGAACUCCUCGGUACAGUUGCUGUAAGAAUGCAGUAGCUGGAGAGGAAUCAUUGAACAAGUGAGGUCAGAAUCUCAAGAGAUCCUGUCUGCAGAACUUUGUAGGUAAAACCUCAGCUAUGGAAAAUUCUCAGCUUUUGAGGAAAACCUGUUGUGAAGGGUUUAGCAAAAGUACACACAGCAGGAUGUAGGAAGAGAAACACAUUUUUGGCUGCUUGAGAGCCCUCACAGUAAGUUGUCCAAAAGGUCUAAGAAUUUGAGGGAGAAAUGCUUGUGAAGCUGAGCAAUUUUGUGAAUUGCAGCUGGCUUCACAGAAAUCUUAGAUGAGGAACAAAAAAUGCAAGGCAGUCUCUUGUGUGCUUAUUUAAUGUAAUUAAUUAAUGCAUUUUGAACCACUUUUUUUUUGGUGCAAAGGGAUCUUAAUUAUAGCAUAAAAUUCAGCUGUAAUUGAUGUAGAAGAUCUUCAUGUAAAUGAAAAGAUGAGCUGCUGUGUUUGAAACUGGAGGGAAGAAGAAAUGCCCGGUUGUAAGGUCACAGUUUGAGUGGGUUUGAUUUAUGUUAAAGGUUAACUGACACAGAGAGGACAUGCUCAGGUACUUGUGGAGCACAUGAACCAGCUUUGCUGUCCUGGCUGACAUAUCAGUAAUGCACUGAUAAUGAGGGUAACUUGCUUAUUUCUGUGACUUAAAAGAUCCACUCCAAAAAUUGCCUGAAAAUGCUGCAAAUGAAGAGGUUCAUAGAGAAAGCUCGUGGAUCUAGCUGUGCUCAAGAAGGACUCCUGUGUCCAACACCUUCCUGCAGCCUACACCACACUGAUCUUCCCAAAAAAAAUCAACAGCUUUGGGCUUUCCUCAGUGAUCUGAAUGUAAGUGAAAGCAAGAGCACUUCUUUCUUAUUUAAUUUAAUAUGAAUGCAACCAGAAUUUAUUUACUAGGGUGAAAUGUCCUACAUCUCUGCAGAAGUCACAGAGCGGGGUUCCAAAGCAAUGCUUUCAGUCCCAUUCUCAGGUUCAGGUUCAAAGGCAUCACUUCUUGUGGUGUGCUUUGACCUAACAUGAUGUGAUUCAUGCAUGAAAUCCCCCUGGGAUUCCCUGGGCUGGUUCAUCUUCUGAGUUUUACCUGACUCCUCUCCCUUCCCAAGCAAACCCUGCUCUGAGUUACCACAAGUGUGGUCAACCUGAAAGGGCCAUUAUGAGGCAGGAAUCCCUGUGCUUUGCUGGGACAGGAGGCACAUAUCUGCCUUCAGCUGUCCUCUGGAUGCUCCAUCUGUCCCAGAUUAUGGAGAAGAACGUGAAGUUUAUGAUGGUUAUUGUCAAAUGAAUCUUGUAAUGUGUUUGCUUUAAAACUCCCUUUGAGUUUUUCUGAUGAAGUUAAGAGAUGGAAGGGGAAUGCAGAGCAGCUUUAUCAGAGUAACUGGCCUCCUUUGGUUUUAAAGCCAAAAUUAAACUGAUAAAUGCAAAGCCCACCUCUACAAUGGCAGACUGACUUUGGUAUUAUAUUUUCUCUGGAUUUGGUUUAGAGUAAUAUUGUUGUAUUUAGAGUAAUGUCUAUGAAACAUGAUUAUAUGGUAAUUCCUAAAAAAAAUUCAUUCCCUGCCUUUGUAGAUCAAUGACUUGUUCUUUUCUCAGGACAAAUGCUGAUGAAUUCAUACAGAGUUUUAGCAUUGUAACCUCCCCACUUUCUUCAAUUUUUUAGCAUUGUAACCUCCUCACCUUCUUGCUGAAGCCCCAUUUCAUUUCCUGCUCCUGUUCUCAGCCAUUGCUCCAAAGGAGCACACAAGGAUUGCCCUUGCUGCUGGGUUCUAGGAACAGGCUGGCAACCUUGCCUAGAUUCCCAUUUAAUUGUGCAUUUUCCACCUUAUCCAUCACUUCUUGUGGAAAGAGAUGGGCAUCUUACCUUCCUAGCAUUUUUAUCUGAACAUGUUUUUACCAACACAUUAGCUCAUAUUUGUACAAUCACAGAAUCCUAGGAUGGCUUGGGUUGGAAGGGACCUUGAAGACCAUCUAGUUCCAACCCCUGCCUUGGGCAGGGACACCUUCCACUGCAGCAGGCUGCUCAAAGACCCACCUAAACUGACCUUGAACACUUCCAGGGAUGGAUGCCAAGAUCCAGGACCUUACACUUGGCCUUGUUGAGCUUCACAAGGUUCAGUCCCUGUCCCUGAUGGAGGUGUUGGAGAUCAGCAGUCCCCACAGUGACCCCUGAGGAGCACCACUCAUCACUGGUUUCCUCUUGGACAUGGAGCUGCUGACCACAGCACUUGCAGAGUGACCAUCCAGCCAAUUCCUUAUCCACCAACUGCCAGCUUCACCAGACUGCCACAAUUUCUCAAAUAGUAUGGAUAGUGGCUCAGCCACUUCAUCCACUAGUGCCCUCAGGACCCAUGCACCUCAUGCAUCUCAUGCAUCUCAUGCAUCUCCUCAGGUUCCAUGGAUUUUACACCUUCACACUCCUCAGAUGCUCUGGUUCCUGUUCUUCCCUUGCACUGGGUGGUUCUUCAUUCCCCCAGUCACCGCCUUUGGCUUCUGUGACUUGGCUGGUGUGGCUGGAGCCCCUGCUGGUGGAAAUGGAGGCAAAAACAUCACUGAGUUCUCACCCUUCUCCAUAUCCCACCUGGGUAACCAGCUCUUCCAUCUCCUUCUGAAGAUGGCCCACAUUUUCCUUGGUUUUUCUUUUAUCAUCAAUGUACCUGUAGAAGCCUUUUUUGUUCUCUUUGAUGUCCCUGGCCAGUUUUAAUUCCAUCAGGGUUUUGGCUUUCAUAAUCUGAUCCCUGGGUACAAUUCUGUCUAUAUUCCUCUCAGGCCACCUGUUCCUCUGUUCCUGCUUCCAUCCUCUGCAGAUUUCCUUUUUCUGUUUGAUUUUGUCCAGGAGCUCUUGGAGGAUUUUACUGAUGAUUUUAUGAAUAUACCAACCCUAUCAGAUGCUAAUGGUUGUGGCUGCUACCAGUUUAGGAUGAUUCUAAACCAUGAACUGGUAAGCAGUGGAAGGGUUUUAUUUCUUUGUGGAUGUGCCAAUACCCUAGUACAGUUGUUUUAAUAAUAAUAAUAUUUUAAAACAUUGCAAAGCUGGCAUUUCCCCUUCACCCUCUGGUAUAGUCACAGCAGAAUGAAUGGAUCAUUGUUAGAAGAAUCAUUUCCCUGCACAAAGCAACCUCUAUUCACAAUUGGAAGUUUAGAAAUGUUCAGUCAGUCAUGACAAUUAAAUAAAAUUAUUGUCUGAGCAUCUCUUAGGGUUACAAAUCAUUCUGUCUCCAGUUGGUGCUACCUGUGCUUUAUUAGAAAUCCACAGAAUCUUUAAGACUGACAACAACUUUAGUGGAAACAGUCUCUUGAAAUAUGAUUUCUCUUUCCAUGUUCAGAAGCAAAGAGCAGUUGUUUGUACCUUGAAUAAAGAAUAAUUUUGUGCCCUUGUCCCCAGGACUACAGACAUGGGAGUGAGCUUAGAACAAAACCACAAAGUGUCAGUGGAGGCUUUUGAGAAAGUGAGCUAUGGGAACAAUGAAAAAUUUGGUUUGGUGACAGAGAGCAGUUGAUAUUUUUGGGAUAGUUGAUGUCUGAAGAAAUCUGUGAUAAAAUUUACAGCUAUUUAGAAGAGAAAAAAAAUCAGGGAAGAUAGAAUUUAUCUAGACACACUAAGCCUAAGAGAAACAAGAGAAGUUUUACAAAUAAGAACUUCUGGCAGUAAAAUGUAUUCCAGAUAGCAGAAAGUUGUUUUUUGAAUACUCUGAAAAAAUCCUGAUGGGGAAUUUUUAUUGGUCUUUUCCUACCUCUACUUAUUUACACUCUCCAGAAGAUGAAUCCUUUCUUAUUAACCAGUAAGAAAGGCCAGCAUUCAGCAAGGAUUUGGAUGUAGAGUCUCCAGCAGCACUGUUUAAUGAGUGUAUUCUUGGAAAGCACUCAGUUGACCGUAGUAGCUGAAUUCCUGACUGCAGCACUCCAGGCAGUGUCAAACACUCAGGAUGAGUUGUGUAGAAAUAAACCUGUGACACAGGAAAUAGGCUACGAGGUGGUUCUGUGCUGUCUGAGGGUGGAAGGAGCUGGAGCAAAUCCAUCACUGUUUAUGUGGUUGUAUUUGUGACACAUGGGAGCUGAACUAACAGAGGAAGUGCAGAAUAAAUAAAUACUCAGCAGAGAGUGAUUAUGGUUAAGAUCCCUAGUCCUGUGAGCGUGACUUAGGGCCAGUUGCAAGGAAUUCCUUCUCAUUGAUUUUAUAGAGUAUAUCUACAUUCUGAAACAGUUUCUAGCUAGUUGUAGUAAUAAUAAUGGCAUGUGUUAAUGUUGUAAUCUCUUAAGAGCUCAUUUCUUCACAUGUCUUUUUAUAGAAACAUUAAUUCUUUUGGCAAAAUUUUUGUGAUGUUCUUUCUAAAAUACUGAGGAAGAAUAUUUUUGCAACUGCUGCUUUGUAUAUUUUGGGUCUCAUGCAUGAUUUAUCACUUACUAAAUUUGAAAUCCAAAUUAUGGAACUGGCUAUAGCUAUUGCCAGAAAGCAGAAUCUGCAGUGCUGGAAAAGGACUAAAAAGGUUAUCAUCUGACUAAGCUGCAACAUUUCUUGGAACAACAUUUGUAUUGUAGGUUACUAACAGCUUUGCAAUCCACAGGUGCUCCCUCACAAUAGCAAAAGUGUUGUAAUUCAUCUAUAAUCAGGACAUUAUUUUUACUGCAAGUUAUUCUGACUUUGCAGUCAAUGGAAACUAACCAGCUAUAGUAAAAGUGUUGUCAUUCAUCUAUAACUGGGACUGUACUUCCAUGGUAAGUUAUUCCAACUUUGUAGUGAAUGAAAACUUACCAGCAAUAGCAAGUGUGCUGUCAUUCAUCUAAAAUAGAAGGGAGGAGAAAGGAGAAAGAUGGACAAAAUGCAGAGCAAUGUAUUUGCAAAGGAAUCUGAGCAAAAUAACCCCAGAGGAGUGCAAGGUAAUGUUAAGUUGGUGAAAUUCAGUACAGCUGAAAGGCCACAGCUUUUCCUUUGGCAUCUGCCUGCCUGAUUUCAGACAGGAUGAAGGGGUGCAGUGCAGUGAAUGUGUUCUGGUGAAGUCAAAGCUCACUGGGGUUAUAGAAGCUGCUUGCAGAGCUCAGUGCACUUUAAGGUAGGGUAAGAAAGGUAAGUAUUAUCUUAUAUAAUAUUUAUAUACCUGAGUAUUUUAAAGCUGGCUUGGACAUGGGAGGCGGCAGUGUAGACAUCCCAUACAUAGCUCUUCUAGGCAAGAAGCCUGCCCUUUUUUGUGCUACAAGAGCACUGUAGGCACUUAACAGUUAUUAAUAAUAACUAAUUAAUAAUGGUCCAAAUCCUUGGCUGUGAUUGAGGACCUCAGAGAAUAACUCAUCUAGAGUUGUAGGAAAAGAUGGCUCAAAACAAUCUUAGCCAAAUCCUGGGCCAGCUUUGUGCCUUGACUUUGCUCCAGCAAAAGAUAAAGCAGCAGGGUACAAUUUGUUCUGAGACAUUAGCAAGGGAGAGAGAAGGACAUAAUGAAUACAUUUUAUUGGUAAUGCACAAGAAGAAUGCAGAGUGGUGGCAAAUAAGACUAUUAGGGAAUAAGAGUAUAAAAUUAGAUGGAAAGGAAGAGAUGAGAUUGGUCAAUUCCACUGGUCCUAAAUCAACAUUUCAUCUCAGAAACCACAAAAGUCAGCAGCUGAGUGGAGGCGAAUGAAAGACUAGGGUCAAAACAACAAUCAUAAUUUAUCUGAGUGUCAGAAAAGCAUUUUUACACUAAGUACACAACACAUCGAUUUACACUUGAUAGACAGUACUUACACAAAAAGAGACUUCAACCCUCCCUGAAUAGCCUGCAGCACAAUACAGAUUCUUUUCAUGGUAAACCUAGGGAGGGAAAACAAUCCCUUUUUAUACAAGGAAUUUUCACUUAAGUAUUUGAGUCUACUGGGAACAGCCUGAAAGACACAUGCCACACUCCCCACUCACAUCUCCAGAGGCUGGUGGUUUGAUGUGCUGAUGCUGUUUGAUAGUGUGGGGGGCACUUUUAGGAACCUUGGUGGAAAGAAGCACAGCAGAAAGCUUCAGCUGCUGGUUUCAUUCCUCUUUGGAGGUGCCUGAUGGAAGAUCCAGGAGUUGUUUACUUGCACAACAAGGAGCAGGGUAUGCUGGUAGGAAGACCAAGUUUCACCUUUGGGAGUCAAAGGACUGUGUUUGAUAGCAAAAGAUUUGCUUCCUUUGCUGGUGAUGUUGUUUUUGCCUUUUU